GUAAGAUCCCUGAAAGAUGAUCAGGUUGAUAGGUCAGAGGUGGAAGCGUGGCGACAUGUGGAGCUGACUGAUACUAAUCGAUCGAGGACUUAACCAA
This 97-nucleotide ribosomal RNA is filed under the name Peribacillus huizhouensis. RNAcentral's name for it is "partial 23S ribosomal RNA". It matches the Rfam family "Bacterial large subunit ribosomal RNA", at positions 2828 to 2925 of the family's 2925-position model. The record is from RNAcentral. RNAcentral also lists the same sequence under 2 other names. Lineage: Bacteria; Bacillati; Bacillota; Bacilli; Caryophanales; Bacillaceae.